Long non-coding RNA from Mercenaria mercenaria, 740 nucleotides. RefSeq lists it as uncharacterized. The transcript is spliced from 3 exons. Lineage: Eukaryota; Metazoa; Mollusca; Bivalvia; Venerida; Veneridae. The record is from RefSeq and is a predicted model, not a curated record.
UUCAUCACCUUUAGUGAUAGCUCUAGUUGUUUCUAUUUUGGUGCAUGGUUUCUCACUCCACAAAUUUUUAGAUAGAAGUCAACAAUAAAACACUUUUAGAAACUGGACUAGCCAGCAAAGCUAAAUAAAAAGGCAUGAUAACAGACUUAUUAUCAGAUCUCUAAUUUGCAGGUCAAAGACAAGAUCGCUGUAUGGUGGAUGAUACUGGCCAAAAUAUUGAGGACAUCCAGUGAGAUUUGUCUCAGUCAGUCGUCACUCCGGGGGCCGCAGCUCUGAAAUGGUUACUUCUGCUGGUACAGCUGGCAGACUGUAGAACAUCUAAAGUAAUGUUGAAAGACAUGAUCAUUGUGCAUAAUAACGAUGGUGGUGAUGAUGAUAAUGGUGAUGAUAGCGAUGAUGAUGGUCCAUGGCUUGUCCUGGUUCACUUUUACCCAUUUAACACAGAUCAACGAUGUUAACGUCUAACAGGUUAUUUUGUUUUCAAAAAUGAAGACACAAAAUUCGGCAGCACAAGAUCUCGGAUUAUUGUAACAGAUGAUCACAGGCGUGCGUAACAGAUGGUAGCAGUCAGGCGUGUGUAACAGAUGGUAGCAGUUAGGCGUGCGUAACAGAUGGUCACAGGCGUGCGUAACAGAUGGUAGCAGUCAGGCGUUCGUAACAGAUAGUAGCAGUCAGGCGUGUGUAACAGAUGGUAGCAGUUAGGCGUGCGUAACAGAUGGUAGCAGUUAUAACAGAAUAUC